This 253-nucleotide ribosomal RNA is filed under the name uncultured bacterium. RNAcentral's name for it is "partial 16S ribosomal RNA". It matches the Rfam family "Bacterial small subunit ribosomal RNA", at positions 524 to 776 of the family's 1533-position model. The record is from RNAcentral.
UACGGAGGGGACUAGCGUUGUUCGGAAUUACUGGGCGUAAAGCGCACGUAGGCGGCUUUGCUAGUCAGGGGUGAAAUCCCGAGGCUCAACCUCGGAACUGCCUUUGAUACUGCAAAUCUCGAGUCCGGAAGAGGUGAGUGGAAUUCCUAGUGUAGAGGUGAAAUUCGUAGAUAUUAGGAAGAACACCAGUGGCGAAGGCGGCUCACUGGUCCGGUACUGACGCUGAGGUGCGAAAGCGUGGGGAGCAAACAGG